Homo sapiens (human) is the source of this 1061-nucleotide long non-coding RNA. Ensembl annotates it as long intergenic non-protein coding RNA 2253. NCBI's taxonomy places the organism in Eukaryota, Metazoa, Chordata, Mammalia, Primates, Hominidae. The record is from Ensembl.
GGCAGGAAAAAUAAGGGAAUAAGAGCUGCUUACCCCAGCCAGCAACGGCAAACAGCGCAGGUCCGCUUCCCGUCUGUGGAAGCUUUGUUCUUUCGCUCUUGACAAUAAAUCUUAAUGCUGCUCUCUCUUUGGGUCCAUGCCAUCUUUAAGAGCUGUGACACUUACAGCCAAGGUCCGGGGCUCCAUUCUUGAAGUCAGCGAGACCACGAAUCCACCGGAAGGAGCAAACUCUGGACAUGGCAUGUGCUUUUGCAGGAAGGACGCUGGACUCUUGCACUAUAAGUUGAAAACAUCGCUUAUAAACAAUACAUCACAGCACACUUGCAGAGAGAGCACUGAGGUAAUUAACGUCUGGGAGAAAGGAUGGAGAAACAUAGAGGAUCCCCAUGCUCAACGAAUAGAGUUCAUCAAAAUAAGAUAUGAUCAAGGUACAAAAGAGUUAAAGAAGCUAUUUAUUUUAAUGUUUCCUUGGAGAGCACACUUGUUAUUGUAUGUAUGCAAAAGAUGAUCUUACUCUUGAGAGCCACUAGAACUCUUUGAAGAAAAAAAAAUGCUAUUUGCUAUAGGGAAAUCUUUCUGGAAAAGUAAUAAUUUCACCUUUGAGUCAGCUUCCCUGGACUCUUGCCUCAUACAUCUUCAGCCAAGAUGCCUGCCCCAGCUUUGCCUUCCACCAUGAGUAAAAGCUUCCCAAGUCCUCCCCAGAAGCAGAUGCUGGCGCUAUGCUUCUGGUACAGCCUGAAAAACCUUGAGCCAAUUAAACCUCAGUGAGCUCAAGAUGUCUUUGUUGAAACAGAACCUCCCGAAGUUACAGUAUUGGUUUUGGGGCUCCACACAGAGAACACAUCACGGAAGCUAUAAUUGAGGAAGACAAAGCUGUCAGGACGACACCAAGAGAGUUAGAAAGCCCAAGAGUGGAGCAUUCUUCACCAUGAUUCCACCUGACACUUGGCUGAAAGCAUUUUGCACUAAUUUGCUUUGUGCCCGUUCAGACAAUCUAAAAAGAAAGGAUGGGGGGACAACAAGUGUCUAUUACACAGAAUAAACAGCCUCUGGCAAAUGAA